ACCUGGCUGGCUCAGUUGGUAGAGUGUGUGACUCAUGAUUUUGAUGUCAUGAGUUCAAGCCCCAUGUUGGGCA
Molecule: transfer RNA, 73 nt
Filed under: Felis catus (domestic cat)
Lineage: Eukaryota; Metazoa; Chordata; Mammalia; Carnivora; Felidae
Rfam family: tRNA
About the family: Transfer RNA (tRNA) molecules are approximately 80 nucleotides in length. Their secondary structure includes four short double-helical elements and three loops (D, anti-codon, and T loops). Further hydrogen bonds mediate the characteristic L-shaped molecular structure. tRNAs have two regions of fundamental functional importance: the anti-codon, which is responsible for specific mRNA codon recognition, and the 3' end, to which the tRNAs corresponding amino acid is attached (by aminoacyl-tRNA synthetases). tRNAs cope with the degeneracy of the genetic code in two manners: having more than one tRNA (with a specific anti-codon) for a particular amino acid; and 'wobble' base-pairing, i.e. permitting non-standard base-pairing at the 3rd anti-codon position.
Source: Rfam by way of RNAcentral